GAGUUUGAUCAUGGCUCAGGAUUAACGCUGGCGGCAUGCCUAAUACAUGCAAGUCGAACGGAGUAGCAAUACUUAGUGGCGAACGGGUGAGUAACACGUAUCUAAUCUACCAUUUAGUGGGGAAUAACUGUUGGAAACGACAGCUAAUACCGCAUAAUAUUGCUGGAUAAUCUCCAGUAAUGAAAGGAGCUUUCAAGCUCCGCUGAUUGAUGAGGAUGCGGCGCAUUAGCUAGUUGGUAGGGUAAUGGCCUACCAAGGCAAUGAUGCGUAGCCGAUCUGAGAGGAUGAACGGCCACAUUGGGACUGAGACACGGCCCAAACUUCUACGGAAGGCAGCAGUAGGGAAUUUUUCACAAUGGGCGAAAGCCUGAUGGAGCAAUGCCGCGUGACUGAUGAAGGUCUUCGGAUUGUAAAGGUCUGUUGUAAGGGAAGAAAUGGUAAAACAGGAAAUGGUUUUAUCUAUGACGGUACCUUACCAGAAAGCCACGGCUAACUAUGUGCCAGCAGCCGCGGUAAUACAUAGGUGGCAAGCGUUAUCCGGAUUUAUUGGGCGUAAAGGGUGCGUGGACGGUUUUGCAAGUCUGAGGUUAAAUUUAGGAGCUCAACUCCUAAUCGCCUUGGAAACUACAAGACUAGAGUAUAGGAGAGGUUAGUGGAAUUCCAUGUGUAGCGGUGGAAUGUGUAGAUAUAUGGAGGAACACCAGUGGCGAAGGC
This 714-nucleotide ribosomal RNA is filed under the name uncultured Spiroplasma sp. RNAcentral describes it as "bacterial SSU rRNA". It matches the Rfam family "Bacterial small subunit ribosomal RNA", at positions 9 to 722 of the family's 1533-position model. The record is from RNAcentral. Lineage: Bacteria; Bacillati; Mycoplasmatota; Mollicutes; Entomoplasmatales; Spiroplasmataceae.